Molecule: long non-coding RNA, 264 nt
Filed under: Brachypodium distachyon (stiff brome)
Lineage: Eukaryota; Viridiplantae; Streptophyta; Magnoliopsida; Poales; Poaceae
Description: long non-coding RNA (BDIS_LNC005075)
Source: RNAcentral
AUGCUAGCUUGUCUCAUAUAUUUACAUAAUGGGGUGUUAAAAACUUAGAAAAAUAAUAAAAUACAUGUAGUGUCACAUUUUGUUGGAGGAAUAGUUAUGAUGCUUGAUGCAGAGGUACGGUAGUAGCAGUACCACCACCGGUCCGGCGGGUAGUACACCACUAUCGUCUUCACCGUCUCACCAUUGUGUCCGCCCCCGCAUAUCACUCAUAAAACCAAAGUAGGAGUGGCAUUCAUUCAUUCAUCCAUACAUGGCCGUGUAAUG